RNAcentral lists this long non-coding RNA (690 nucleotides) under Homo sapiens (human). RNAcentral describes it as "LHRI_LNC1815.1". Lineage: Eukaryota; Metazoa; Chordata; Mammalia; Primates; Hominidae. The record is from RNAcentral.
GGGAGAUAAUUGAAUCAUGGGGGCCCAUCUUUCCCAUGCUAUUCUCAUGAUAGUGAAUAAGUCUCAGGAGAUCUGAUGGGUUUAUCAGGGGUUUCCACUUUUGCUUCUUCCUCAUUUUCUCUUGCUGCUGCCAUGUAAGAAGUGCCUUUCACCUUCCGCCACGAUUCUCAGGCCUCCCCAGCCAUGUGGAACUCUCUGCCCUCAUCAUGAGACCAUGCCCAGGCUAGUCUGCUGGAAGGAAGUCAGAGGCACACGGAAGAGAGCCACAUUCAGCCAAGGCCAUUCUAGACCAGUUGUUCCCUGUCACUUCACUAAUUGGCCACAGCACAAGGUACACGGAUGGAGCUGGAAGCCAUUAUCCUCAGCAAACUAAUGUAGGAACAGAAAACCAAAUAUUGCAUGUUCUUACUUAUAAGUGGGAGCUGAACAACGAGAACACAUGGACACAGGGAGGGAAACAACACACACUGGGGCCUGUCCAGCAGUAAGGUUGAGGCAGGGAAAGCAUUAGGAAAAAUAGCUAUGCAUGCUGGGCUGAAUACUGGGUGAUGGAUUGAUAGGUGCAGCAAACCACCAUGGCAUAUGUUUACCUUUGUAAGAAACCAGCACAUCCUGCACAUGUACCCUGGAACUUAAAAUAAAAAUUAAAAUGUUUUUUAAAAAAGUCAUGAUGUUUUCUCAGCAGCCCAG